Molecule: ribosomal RNA, 251 nt
Filed under: uncultured bacterium
Lineage: Bacteria
Description: partial 16S ribosomal RNA
Rfam family: Bacterial small subunit ribosomal RNA
Source: RNAcentral
ACAAAGCCGCGAGGUGGAGCAAAUCCCCAAAAGGCGUCUCAGUUCGGAUUGCAGGCUGCAACUCGCCUGCAUGAAGCUGGAAUUGCUAGUAAUCGUGGAUCAGCAUGCCACGGUGAAUACGUUCCCGGGCCUUGUACACACCGCCCGUCACACCAUGGGAGCCGGUAAUACCCGAAGUCAGUAGUCUAACCGCAAGGAGGACGCUGCCGAAGGUAGGAUUGGCGACUGGGGUGAAGUCGUAACAAGGUAGC